This 666-nucleotide ribosomal RNA is filed under the name uncultured bacterium. RNAcentral describes it as "bacterial SSU rRNA". The stretch from base 1 to 548 matches the Rfam family "Bacterial small subunit ribosomal RNA", at positions 338 to 873 of the family's 1533-position model. The record is from RNAcentral.
CCUACGGGAGGCAGCAGUAAGGAAUAUUGGUCAAUGGAGGCAACUCUGAACCAGCCAUGCCGCGUGCAGGAUGAAGGCCCUAUGGGUCGUAAACUGCUUUUUACACAAGAGAAACCCGAGUACGUGUACUCGGUUGAUAGUAUUGUGAGAAUAAGCAUCGGCUAACUUCGUGCCAGCAGCCGCGGUAAGACGAAGGAUGCAAGCGUUAUCCGGAUUCAUUGGGUUUAAAGGGUGCGUAGGCGGACCUGUAAGUCAGUGGUGAAAUCUCUUUGCUUAACAAAGAAACUGCCAUUGAUACUGCAAGUCUAGAGUAUAGAUGACGUUGGCGGAAUAUGACAUGUAGUGGUGAAAUACUUAGAUAUGUCAUAGAACACCGAUUGCGAAGGCAGCUAACGAAACUAUAACUGACGCUGAGCACGAAGUAGCGGGAGUACAACAGAUAGAUACCUAGUAGUCGCACCGUAACGAUAGUAUUACUUCGUUGUUGGUCGAAUAUAGUACCGUCAGCGACCGAACGACGAAAGACGAGUAAAGUAAAGUAACCUACCGUACGGGGUUAGGGUUACGGUCCGGCCGAACCGGUAGGUUAAACGUUAAAAGGUUAAAGUUAGGUUACGGGACGUUGAGACGUUCGCCGACGGACGACCGACGAGGGGAGGAGGGAGG